GUGCCCUACGGGGGGCAGCAGUCGGGAAUAUUGCGCAAUGGAGGAAACUCUGACGCAGUGACGCCGCGUAUAGGAAGAAGGUUUUCGGAUUGUAAACUAUUGUCGUGAGGGAAGAAAUUGUCAGUACCUCAGGAGGAAGCUCCGGCUAACUACGUGCCAGCAGCCGCGGUAAUACGUAGGUGGCAAGCGUUGUCCGGAUUUAUUGGGCGUAAAGCGAGUGCAGGCGGUUCAAUAAGUCU
Molecule: ribosomal RNA, 239 nt
Filed under: uncultured bacterium
Lineage: Bacteria
Description: partial 16S ribosomal RNA
Rfam family: Bacterial small subunit ribosomal RNA
Source: RNAcentral